CCCACGCCGGCCCCGGCUCACACCUCGGCUGCUCUAGAUCGCGGCGGACGAAGCCCCAACAGAAGGUAACGGAGCCCCAAAGUAGCAAACUUUCGUGCUUCUUUUGGAAAUGGCUCCACGUUGAAAUCGGACAUCCCGGGUUGUUGUGAUGAUUGCAUAUAUAUGAAGUGCUUCAAACAGUAUCUGGAAAGACUAAAUGCUUGUUAUUAGUAUUUCCCAACUAAAAGGACAUCACUUACCCUCUUGUGGAGCAUAUUUAAAAUGGCAAGAUUCGUGAGAUUGGUAUUUUAUGAGAAAUGCAGCAUCAACUUUGCUGGGUUGUGUGGGAAAGACUAAAUGAGAAUGAGAAUGCCCACUCGCUUUGGAGAACAGAACCCCCCCUACUUCCUACAAUAUCAGGAGCAAGUGAGCAGAAUAAGCUGCAGUCGGCCUACAGGCUGCAACUGAAACGCUUGAAUUAACAAGAUCUCAGAAGAAUUCCUUUCUUCCUGGGAAGAGAUGGAAACAUGGGGAUAAGUUUCCCAAGCAAGAAGAAACUGAGAGACCUCUAAACCCUCCACCCGCAUCUUUGAGGAGGAUUGAAUGAAGCUACUCUUAUUUCCCAACAACUGCUGAGAUAACUGCUGACCUAUUCGUGUCUCCCCUAGCAUACUUGACCUCAAGACUGAAUUUCCUGUUCCUGACCCUUCCCCCAGCAUGGAGCACAGAGCCCAAGGACACCCCUGUGGGAUUGGGAGGAGGGUGGGAAAGCUGGUACCUCUGCAUUCCUUGUAAGUCCUUGGAAAAUGCACUUCACCUCUCUCACUCUUUCUCCUCAUCUGUAAAAUAGAAAUGGUAACAUCUGUGCUGUUUCUCUAACACAUUAUGAGGAUCAGAUGAGUAAAUGCUUAAGAAAAUCUUCUGAAACUGU
Molecule: long non-coding RNA, 910 nt
Organism: Canis lupus familiaris (dog)
Lineage: Eukaryota; Metazoa; Chordata; Mammalia; Carnivora; Canidae
Exons: 5
Source: RefSeq, a predicted model, not a curated record